GACGAACGCUGGCGGCGUGCCUAAUACAUGCAAGUCGAACGCUUCUUUCCUCCCGAGUGCUUGCACUCAAUUGGAAAGAGGAGUGGCGGACGGGUGAGUAACACGUGGGUAACCUACCCAUCAGAGGGGGAUAAAACUUGGAAACAGGUGCUAAUACCGCAUAACAGUUUAUGCCGCAUGGCAUAAGAGUGAAAGGCGCUUUCGGGUGUGGCUGCUGGAUGGAUCCGCGGUGGAUUAGCUAGUUGGUGUGGUAACGGCUCACCAAGGACACGAUGCAUAGCCGACCGGAGAGGGGGAUCGGCGACACUGGGACUGAGAAACGGCCCAGACUCCUACGGGAGGCAGCAGUAGGGAAUCUUCGGCAAUGGACGAAAGACUGACCGAGCAACGCCGCGUGAGGGAAGAAGGUGUUCGGAUCGUAAAACUCUGUUGUUAGAGAAGAACAAGGACGUUAGUAACUGAACGUCCCCUGACGGUAUCUAACCAGAAAGCCACGGCUAACUACGUG
Molecule: ribosomal RNA, 508 nt
Filed under: uncultured bacterium
Lineage: Bacteria
Description: partial 16S ribosomal RNA
Rfam family: Bacterial small subunit ribosomal RNA
Source: RNAcentral